This 393-nucleotide ribosomal RNA is filed under the name uncultured eukaryote. RNAcentral describes it as "partial 18S ribosomal RNA". It matches the Rfam family "Eukaryotic small subunit ribosomal RNA", at positions 592 to 976 of the family's 1831-position model. The record is from RNAcentral.
CAAUAGCGUAUAUUAAAUUUGCUGCAGUUAAAAAGCUCGUAGUCGAAAUUCGGACAUCAACGCAAGAAGGCCUGAGGGUCAACUUGACGACGAUGUCUUUAUCGGAGGUAGGAAUUUAGAGUUUUCUCUUUCCUUUUUAAGAAGGGAAAGUUAAAACCUAAUUUUGAGUCCGAGAGUUACCUUGAGCAAAAUAGAGUGUUCAUCGCAUGCGAUAGCAUGAAUACACUAGCAUGGAAUAACGAAACGGCGUGAGCAGUUUUGUUGGUUGGGCGGCGCUCGCCAUGAUGAAUAGGAACAGUUGGGGGCAUUAGUAUUCGGCAGUCAGAGGUGAAAUUCUUGGAUUUGCCGAAGACUAACUACGGCGAAAGCAUUUGCCAAGGAUGUUUUCAUUGA